RNAcentral lists this unclassified non-coding RNA (281 nucleotides) under Canarium multiflorum. Its description in RNAcentral is "partial external transcribed spacer". The record is from RNAcentral. Lineage: Eukaryota; Viridiplantae; Streptophyta; Magnoliopsida; Sapindales; Burseraceae.
AAUUCGAUGGCUCGUUUGUUUAUCUCCGUCCYAUGCCCUCACGGGUGGUGGGUCGGACGCCAGGCAAGCCUCGUGUUCCCGGCACGCCUAGCCCAGUUGCAUGGCUGCCUCGGCGCAUGAGGCUCUUCGCCCGUGCUCUCGGAUUCGGAAUGUUAUGUGCUGCGGGUGGGUGGCUCAUCGGAGGCACUCCAUCCGGUCAAGCGAGGCAUUUUGUCCAACGAGACGAACGACUGCUGCACCCGUCUUUGGGCUCGCGGCCUCACGGCUCGGCRGGGCUCAUG